AGUGAACGCUGGCGGUAGGCCUAACACAUGCAAGUCGAACGGCAGCACAGUAAGAGCUUGCUCUUACGGGUGGCGAGUGGCGGACGGGUGAGGAAUACAUCGGACUCUACUUUUUCGUGGGGGAUAACGUAGGGAAACUUACGAUAAUACCGCAUACGACCUACGGGUGAAAGCAGGGGAUCUUUGGACCUUGCGCGAUUGAAUGCGCCGAUGGCGGAUUAGCUAGUUGGCGGGGUAAAGGCCCACCAAGGCGACGAUCCGUAGCUGGUCUGAGAGGAUGAGCAGCCACACUGGAACUGAGACACGGUCCAGACUCCUACGGGAGGCAGCAGUGGGGAAUAUUGGACAAUGGGCGCAAGCCUGAUCCAGCCAUACCGCGUGGGUGAAGAAGGCCUUCGGGUUGUAAAGCCCUUUUGUUGGGAAAGAAAAGCAGCAGGUUAAUACCCCGCUGUUCUGACGGUACCCAAAGAAUAAGCACCGGCUAACUUCGUG
Molecule: ribosomal RNA, 492 nt
Filed under: uncultured bacterium
Lineage: Bacteria
Description: partial 16S ribosomal RNA
Rfam family: Bacterial small subunit ribosomal RNA
Source: RNAcentral